CCAAACUUGGUCAUUUAGAGGAAGUAAAAGUCGUAACAAGGUUUCCGUAGGUGAACCUGCGGAAGGAUCAUUAACAAGUCCAUGUGCCUUGCAUGCAUGCAUUUGUGUGUGCAUGUGGGGGACAUUUGCUCCGUGUGCAUUCCGUGUGCACAUUGAACACAUUUCUGCAAAUUGUCUGAUUACAUUUGUUGAUUAACCAUUAAAUGACUUUUAACAAUGGAUCUCUAGGCUCCUGCAUCGAUGAAGAACGCAGC
This 254-nucleotide unclassified non-coding RNA is filed under the name uncultured fungus. Its description in RNAcentral is "partial contains small subunit ribosomal RNA, internal transcribed spacer 1, and 5.8S ribosomal RNA". The stretch from base 1 to 73 matches the Rfam family "Eukaryotic small subunit ribosomal RNA", at positions 1759 to 1831 of the family's 1831-position model. Lineage: Eukaryota; Fungi. The record is from RNAcentral.